Molecule: ribosomal RNA, 960 nt
Filed under: Didymella rumicicola
Lineage: Eukaryota; Fungi; Ascomycota; Dothideomycetes; Pleosporales; Didymellaceae
Description: partial large subunit ribosomal RNA
Rfam family: Eukaryotic large subunit ribosomal RNA
Source: RNAcentral
ACAAGGAUUGCCCUAGUAACGGCGAGUGAAGCGGCAACAGCUCAAAUUUGAAAUCUGGCGUCUUUGGCGUCCGAGUUGUAAUUUGCAGAGGGCGCUUUGGCAUUGGCAGCGGUCCAAGUUCCUUGGAACAGGACGUCACAGAGGGUGAGAAUCCCGUACGUGGUCGCUAGCCUUUACCGUGUAAAGCCCCUUCGACGAGUCGAGUUGUUUGGGAAUGCAGCUCUAAAUGGGAGGUAAAUUUCUUCUAAAGCUAAAUACUGGCCAGAGACCGAUAGCGCACAAGUAGAGUGAUCGAAAGAUGAAAAGCACUUUGGAAAGAGAGUUAAAAAGCACGUGAAAUUGUUGAAAGGGAAGCGCUUGCAGCCAGACUUGCCUGUAGUUGCUCAUCUAGGUUUUUACCUAGUGCACUCUUCUAUAGGCAGGCCAGCAUCAGUUUGGGCGGUUGGAUAAAGGUCUCUGUCAUGUACCUCUCUUCGGGGAGAACUUAUAGGGGAGACGACAUGCAACCAGCCUGGACUGAGGUCCGCGCAUCUGCUAGGAUGCUGGCGUAAUGGCUGUAAGCGGCCCGUCUUGAAACACGGACCAAGGAGUCUAACAUCUAUGCGAGUGUUUGGGUGUCAAGCCCGAGCGCGUAAUGAAAGUGAACGGAGGUGGGAACCUUUCGGGGUGCACCAUCGACCGAUCCUGAUGUCUUCGGAUGGAUUUGAGUAAGAGCAUAGCUGUUGGGACCCGAAAGAUGGUGAACUAUGCUUGAAUAGGGUGAAGCCAGAGGAAACUCUGGUGGAGGCUCGCAGCGGUUCUGACGUGCAAAUCGAUCGUCAAAUUUGGGCAUAGGGGCGAAAGACUAAUCGAACUAUCUAGUAGCUGGUUCCUGCCGAAGUUUCCCUCAGGAUAGCAGUAACGUUUUCAGUUUUAUGAGGUAAAGCGAAUGAUUAGAGGCCUGGGGGUUGAAACAACCUU